This is a long non-coding RNA of Rosa chinensis, 380 nucleotides long. RefSeq lists it as uncharacterized. The record is from RefSeq and is a predicted model, not a curated record. The transcript is spliced from 3 exons. Lineage: Eukaryota; Viridiplantae; Streptophyta; Magnoliopsida; Rosales; Rosaceae.
GGGAGACCUCCACUGUAUUGUUCGCUGUUCAUAGUGACAGUUUGGUUUGGUUGGCCCUUUUCCGACCUCAAUUUGUUCCUCUGGGCAUGGAUUAAUACUGGAUAAUGCUUGGUUCACAGAGCUGAAGGACUUGAUGGAAAUCGAAGAAUUUGCUUUGUCUCUGGUCGAGUUAUCAAAGAAGAAUAUCUAGCCCGUUUGCUUUCAAUGUGAACUAAUCGGUUGCCCAGAUGCGGGCAGACUAGAGAUUGAUAGAAGUUGUGUUGGAAUCAGAACAAGGGCUGGGAAGUUUUGGUUUGUUCGGACUAUGUAACAUAAAGUUUGAUGCAGGAAAGUAUGGAUGUACAACGAAGGUGUUGGGUUUGAAAUUUAUGUCGUCAAGG